UGGGGAAUAUUGGACAAUGGGCGCAAGCCUGAUCCAGCAAUGCCGCGUGUGUGAAGAAGGCCUUCGGGUUGUAAAGCACUUUUAUCAGGAGCGAAACGCUGUCGGCUAAUACCCGGCGGAACUGACGGUACCUGAGGAAUAAGCACCGGCUAACUUCGUGCCAGCAGCCGCGGUAAUACGAAGGGUGCAAGCGUUAAUCGGAAUUACUGGGCGUAAAGCGCGCGUAGGCGGUUUCUUAAGUCUGCUGUGAAAUCCCCGGGCUCAACCUGGGAAUGGCAGUGGAUACUGGGAGGCUAGAGUGUGUCAGAGGUGGUGGAAUUCCCGGUGUAGCGGUGAAAUGCGUAGAGAUCGGGAGGAACAUCAGUGGCGAAGGCGGCCACCUGGGACAACACUGACGCUGAGGCACGAAAGCGUGGGGAGCAAACAGGAUUAGAUACCCUGGUAGUCCACGCCCUAAACGAUGCGAACUGGAUGUUGGUCUCAACUCGGAGAUCAGUGUCGAAGCUAACGCGUUAAGUUCGCCGCCUGGGGAGU
Molecule: ribosomal RNA, 534 nt
Filed under: uncultured bacterium
Lineage: Bacteria
Description: partial 16S ribosomal RNA
Rfam family: Bacterial small subunit ribosomal RNA
Source: RNAcentral